This 460-nucleotide ribosomal RNA is filed under the name uncultured bacterium. Its description in RNAcentral is "partial 16S ribosomal RNA". It matches the Rfam family "Bacterial small subunit ribosomal RNA", at positions 338 to 795 of the family's 1533-position model. The record is from RNAcentral.
CCUACGAGUGGCAGCAGUGAGGAAUAUUGGUCAAUGGACGAGAGUCUGAACCAGCCACGUCGCGUGAAGGAUGACUGCCCUCUGGGUUGUAAACUUCUUUUAUAUGGGAAUAAAAUGUUCCACGUGUGGGAUUUUGUAUGUACCAUAUGAAUAAGGAUCGGCUAAAUCCGUGCCAGCAGCCGCGGUAAUACGGAGGAUGCGAGCGUUAUCCGGAUUUAUUGGGUUUAAAGGGAGCGUAGGUGGAUUGUUAAGUCAGUUGGGAAAGUUUGCGGCUAAACCGUAAAAUUGCAGUUGAAACUGGCAGGCUUGAGUACAGGAGAGGUGGGCGGAAUUCGUGGUGUAGCGGUGAAAUGCUUAGAUAUCACGAAGAACUCCGAUUGCGAAGGCAGCUCACUGGACUGCAACUGACACUGAGGCUCGAAAGUGUGGGUAUCAAACAGGAUUAGAUACCCCUGUAGUC